UGUCUCUUCCUCUAAGUUUUUUGUUUCUUUAGCUUAAAUGAAAAUCAAGUGGCAGUUGGUCAAGUCAUUCUAUAAGUUGAAAUAAUCCUUACGGAAUUAGAUGAAAAGCUUUCAUCAUCCUUCUUGGAAGGUUUUGUUCAAAGUAAAAAAAUGACUACUCUUUAUAUGUUACGCAAAGUGGCUAUCGCGACGACACAUAUCCCAACGACAAAAGUCAGCGCUAAAAGGUGGGCUCUACGACGACAAGUUGUGGCCAAAACGUUUCACUACUUUGACCGGAUCUGUUUGACCUUAAAAGGUAUCCAGAAGACAAGUUAUCGGGACAACGUGGGCGGAAAAUACAAAAAUUUUUGUGGUCGUCUGAAACUCUAUGCCGACGACAAGUCGCCGGUAUGGGGUACGACAAAUUGAAUUUUUAUUUAUUUUUAUUUGAUUUUGUAGAAAACCGAAAUAAUAUAGUUUUCUGAAACUCUAUGCCGACGACAAGUCGUCGGUAUAGGGUAAGAAUCCAACAUGGCGAUCCGCGUGAAAAUUUUAAUUUCUUUUAAUAAAGACAAAAGAUAGAAAUGACGUCGUUAUUUGAACCCUAUACCAACGACGUAGUUAUCAGUGCAUCGUUCAUUGUUCAGUUGCAGUGAACGAUACACUCUUUCUCUCUCAGACUGACCGACGAUUUUGCACCAUCUUCACCGGCAAUGAGAUAUAGCCAUGAACCACCAUCCACCCUUCACAUGUUCACCACCGUCUUUCCUUCACCACCAUCGUCGACCACCUGGUUCCUUCUGGCUUAUCUUCUUCGCUACAACAGGUAAGGAUAAGGUUUUUUUUUUAUUAUUUUGGGGUUUUUUUCUUUUGUUUUAUUAUUUUGUGCUUUUCCGGUGCCCACCAGCCACCACCGAAGGACCAUCAUCAAAUCCGACCACCGGAAUCCGGCCAUCAUAUAAAGAACAUAACAAAUCUGUGAAAAAUAUUUAUAAAAAAAAUCUUAUACCGACGACAUGUCGUCGGUAUAAGUUUAUUUGUAAAAACUGUUUGAAACUUUUCCCGGCGACAUGUCAUCGGUAUAGAUUUAUAAUAAAACUGUUUUUUUUACCUCGAAAAUCUUUCCCGACGAUCCUUUGUAGACGACAAGUCGUCGACAGAGGUACAUUUGUACCGACGACAUCUAUACUGACGACAUUUUUGACUUAUACCGACGGAGCAAUACCGAUAACUUUGUAGGGUCAACAAGUCGUCGAUAUAGGUUUUACCGACGACAUGUCGUCUGCAUAGGUGUUGAAAAAGUCGUCGAUAUAGACCUCGUUCCGUGUAGUGAUUGGAAACUGUGCAAUGACAUUGAAGUUGUCAAACAAUUUUAAUAAAUCUUUUAUCAUAUAUUUAAGAAUUCUUACAUAUUUUUUUUGAAUUGAGAUUGUUGAAUCCUCAAGUGGAAUGUAUCUCUGUGAUAUCCCUUUAUUUUAAAAAAAUUUAAAAUAAAUAAAUAAAUAACUUUUCUUUACGUUUUGAAACUCACAAUAUAUUUGCUUGCGGAAAAUCUCAGUAAAAUAAAAUAUUUUGCGGAAAUUGUCUCAUUUUAUUAGCAUAUAUUGAGUAAAGAUGUUGUUUCAAAAUACAAAAGCCUAAAGAUGUCAUAAUCAAUACACAUCUUAUGUCACAACAUAAAUACCUAAUGGUCCUUAAAACUAUUGCAGAGUGUCUCUUAAUCACACAACAUCCCCAAUAAAGUUCCAACACCUUUAGCACUGUUACCUGUGAUGUAUAUAAUUUGAGCGGGUCAGGUUGGGAAACUUGGUAAGACACAUAGGGUUUUCACUCCCAUAAUAUUAUUAUGAUAGUAAUAAUUAUCAAACCUACAAAACCAACUAUUACCAAACAAUAUAGAUAUAUCUGAUAACUUAAAUACUUGUACAACAUUAUCCCCAUACAUACCCAUCCCAACUGAUUAUCAUAAAUCCUUGUACACAAUUAUUAGCAUGAAUCAACUCAUCUGAUGAAUCAUUUAGAGCAAUGGUUUGACUACACAACCAGGGGCUUCCUUGGUGGGUGUAAGUCAUUAAGGCAAUUCAAGCCAUCAUAAUAUUUGAUGAAUAUGGUAUCCUAUUUCAUCUACAUCUGUGGAUUUUAAGUCCACACUAGCAACGUAAUACACAAGAAUGUCUAGAAUGAUCAAGUGUUGUCAUCUUACUCUGGUAGAUGACUAGACAUAUCGUUUCAGUUGCCUGAUUGGACCCACCAUAUAUGGUUGUCUAAAGGAAUACAAUAUCAUACUCUGGUACGUAAUUCGUACAUCAACACCUGAUAGUAUCACAUCAUAGAGUUGUACUCUUCAUUCCUAUCAUAUACAUCCUUAAUAUGAUGCUACCUAAUAUCUAAACAUAAUUGAACUAAGCAUCCUUUAUAAGUCUUAUCUCAUUUUUAGGAAAUACUAUAAUAGUUUUAAUCAACUUAGAAAAUCAUUUUCGUGUUUAUACCAUAUUAUCACAAUACAUUUUAAGACUAUAUGUUUAUCCAACUUAACUGUAACUAAUCAUCCUUUAUAUGUCUUAGUUAAAAAGUUGACUACACUAUAAUAUACAUAGUCAACUUUCAAUACGUAUUCCAUGUUAGUGUAAUAUUAUUAUAAUACAAGGUAUGACUACGUACUAAUCCAACAUACUUUGUACUAAUUGUCAUUUAUAAGUCUUACUUUAUUACUAGA
Lactuca sativa (garden lettuce) is the source of this 2698-nucleotide long non-coding RNA. RefSeq lists it as uncharacterized. The record is from RefSeq and is a predicted model, not a curated record. NCBI's taxonomy places the organism in Eukaryota, Viridiplantae, Streptophyta, Magnoliopsida, Asterales, Asteraceae.